UCAAAGGACGUGAAACGUUUAGAAGGAAACGAGUAGAGCUGCGAGUGGCUCGGCCGAUUCAGGUUGCCGACAGUUCGUAGGCGGGGUUGUCGAUCGCAAGACGACGACUUUGCUGUGCGUGCUGGACGGCGGCUGCAUUUUGGCCGAGUAGCACUGGCGGUCGUGCUCAGCCGAUGACAGCCGACAGUUGACGGCGCCGCUUCGGUGGUUGUCGUCUGUCGGUCUGUUGUUUGUGCCGAGCACGAUUGAGUUGGACACGGCCUGUUGGUGCGAUAGCGGCUGUGGUUGGUGCUAGUAUUGCCAAUGUGCUUGCACAGAGGUGGUCUAGUGUCGAUCAUCGGUUGUGUUUCGCCCUUGUGUCCACGCCAGUGAACAAGUCAGCCACCUACUCGACCCGUCUUGAAACACGGACCAAGAAGUCUAACAUGUACGCGAGUCGUAGGGUGUAAAACCUGAAGGCGCAAUGAAAGUAAAGUUUCAUACGACACAGGACCCUGUGCUUCGGCGCAGGAGCACUGUGGCCCCGUUCUGAUUGCUCGUCAAUGGAGCGGCGGUUGAGCGUACACGUUAGGACCCGAAAGAUGGUGAACUAUGCGUGAGCAGGGCGAAGUCAGAGGAAACUCUGAUGGAGGCUCGAAACGGUUCUGACGUGCAAAUCGAUCGUCAGACUGCGUAUA
This 677-nucleotide ribosomal RNA is filed under the name Cobbia trefusiaeformis. RNAcentral's name for it is "partial large subunit ribosomal RNA". It matches the Rfam family "Eukaryotic large subunit ribosomal RNA", at positions 389 to 919 of the family's 3401-position model. The record is from RNAcentral. Lineage: Eukaryota; Metazoa; Nematoda; Chromadorea; Monhysterida; Xyalidae.